CCCGCGGCCACCACGAGCUAGACUCAGUUUUUUCCACUGGAGCUCGCCUGGACGUUUUGGGCCGUGAACGCUGUGCCUUCCUGCCCAGCGGCCCUGCCUUCGGGUGUUGCCAAUACCUGCAGUCUGUGCCGAAGCUGGUUUCAAGCAGCUGGUGGCCCGCAGAGCCCAGAAUCCACCGUUUUCUCCAGGAGGUUUGUGUCAAGGAUGAGGACUCACACUCAUCACGAACCAAAUCUGUGUGCGGCCACGGGGACCUCGCACACCGUGAGCGCGACAGCAGGCUGCAGGGGUUGCAGAUGGCAGGUUCAGAGACGGCGCUGUGCGGACGGGGUUCGAGCGAGCCCUCCACGGGACGUGAAGCUCUCAAGACAGCUGAGCCCUCGAAACACCCGUCACCGUGCCGUGAGCUCGGGCUUCAUCCUUCCCGCGCAUCAGCAGAGCCUGACCGGUCACGAGCAAUCACUCCCUCCUCUGGUGGCCGAGUUGUCUGUUGCUGCAAAACAAAGCUGGCUGGCUUGAACGAGGACACCCCUCAUCUCACAACGUGCGUCCGUCCGUGAGUCAGGGCCUCGGGAGCUGGGCCGUCUGGCUCAGGGUCUCUCCAGAGGUUGUGGCCGGGACGUCGGCCGAGGCCCGGGUCACCUGCAGGCUGGACGGGGGCUGGAGGGUCCCCAAGUUGGCCCGCUCGCGCCGAGUCGGCGGGCGGCCCCAGGUCCUCGCCCCGUGGACUCUCCCGGGGCUGGUCCCCCCGGGGCGAGCUGUCCGCGGGGGACACAGGGCAGCUGCGUGAACCGAUCUCGGGCGGAGCACACACUGCCCUCGUCAGCAGCACGUCACCAAGAAGAUCCCGCAAUGGAGGGGAGAAGUGUCACAGGAUGUGGGGACAUGACCAAAGCCGCCACGUCCCGUAUCCGGAGGGGAACGGUGCCAACAGCAGUGUGUCAGUCACCUCCUGCUGACGGGCAAAGCCCAAGGAGAUGACACAUCCCCCAGGGCCCCUUCUGAUCCGUAGACAGUGGUGACGGUGGACAAAGACCGUGGAAGGCUGCCUGGUGCACAAGGGACCGAGACGUUGACCUGGAACUGGUAGCCUCGAACUCUGACUGGGGUGGAAUCACCUGGGAGGUUUUGAAAGGCCGCCGCCCAGGCCCCAGACGGGAGAGCCAGUGCCCUGGUGGCCAGCGGUGAGAGCCCGUCGCUGAGCCCAAGCGGGUGGACGCUGCUUCGGGGAGCCCCGGCCGGGUACGACCUCCUGGGUAGGACCGUGCUCCCCUCUCCCCGGCUGCGUGCCAGACGGAGGCUGUGGUUACCGUCAGGCGUCCGGGUCCUCUCUGUGGCUGCCGGAUGAUCCUUCCCAGACGUGGCUGGAGUCCCCAGGAGCACAGAGCCUGACUGCUGGGCUGGACGCCGGGCAGAGAGGCUGUGGCUGCAAGCUGG
This 1437-nucleotide long non-coding RNA is filed under the name Felis catus (domestic cat). Its description in RNAcentral is "lncRNA (ENSFCAG00000050002.1)". The record is from RNAcentral. Lineage: Eukaryota; Metazoa; Chordata; Mammalia; Carnivora; Felidae.